GUGGAGUAUGUGGCUUAAUUCGAUGCAACGCGAAGAACCUUACCUAGGCUUGACAUGCUUGUCGUACUCUCCCGAAAAGGAGAGGUCACUUCGGGUGGACAAUGCACAGGUGCUGCAUGGCCGUCGUCAGCUCGUGUCGUGAGAUGUUUGGUUAAGUCCAGCAACGAGCGCAACCCCUGUGAACUGUUGCCAGCGCGUAAAGGCGGGGACUCUGUUCAGACUGCCCAGAUCAACUGGGAGGAAGGUGGGGACGACGUCAGGUCAGUAUGGCCCUUACGCCUAGGGCUGCACACGUACUACAAUGCCCAGCACAAUGAGAACCGAGACCGCAAGGUGGAGGAAAUCUGCAAAACUGGGCCCAGUUCGGAUUGGAGGCUGCAACUCGCCUCCAUGAAGUCGGAAUCGCUAGUAAUGCCGUAUCAGCUACGACGGCGUGAAUACGUUCCCGGGUCUUGUACACACCGCCCGUCACAUCAUGGAAGCCGGUCGCACCCGAAGUAUAUGCGCUAACUUUAUUGAAGCAGUAUCCUAAGGUGAGGCUGGUAACUGGGAUG
Molecule: ribosomal RNA, 554 nt
Filed under: uncultured bacterium
Lineage: Bacteria
Description: bacterial SSU rRNA
Rfam family: Bacterial small subunit ribosomal RNA
Source: RNAcentral